Molecule: ribosomal RNA, 1331 nt
Filed under: uncultured prokaryote
Description: partial 16S ribosomal RNA
Rfam family: Bacterial small subunit ribosomal RNA
Source: RNAcentral
AGUCGAAGGCGAAAGUGGCGAAAGGGCGAGUAAUGCGAUCGAACGUACCCCAAGGUAGAGGAUAGUGGCGGGAAACCGACGGUAAUACUCUAUGUGCUCUUCGGAGGAAAGCUUUGGCGCCUCGGGAGCGGCGAUCGUCCUAUCAGGUAGUUGGUGAGGUAAAGGCUCACCAAGCCGAAGACGGGUAGCGGGUGUGAGAGCAUGACCCGCCGCAUCGGGACUGAGACACUGCCCGGACUCCUACGGGAGGCUGCAGCGACGAAUAUUCCGCAAUGGGCGAAAGCCUGACGGAGCAAUGCCGCGUGUGGGAUGAAGCGGUUUCGCCGUGUAAACCACUGUCAGGUGCUAGGAAACACUGACCAGAUUCCAAGGAAGGGCCGGCUAAUUCUGUGCCAGCAGCCGCGGUAAUACGGAAGGCCCGAGCGUUAAUCGGAAUCACUGGGCUUAAAGCGUGCGCAGGCGGAUGUGUAGGUGUCUUGUGAAAGCCCUCGGCUCAACCGAGGAAUUGCGGUGCAAACCACAAGUCUUGAGGAAGGCAGAGGUCGUCGGAACGUUCGGUGGAGCGGUGAAAUGCGUAGAUAUCGAACGGAACGCCAAAGGGGUAGCCAGGCGACUGGGCCUUUCCUGACGCUCAGGCACGAAAGCGUGGGGAGCAAACAGGAUUAGAUACCCUGGUAGUCCACGCCGUAAACGAUGCACACUAGAUCGGGGCGGUUCUGACACCGUCCCGGUCGAAGGAAAACUGUUAAGUGUGCCGCCUGGGGAGUACGGUCGCAAGGCUAAAACUCAAAGGAAUUGACGGGGGCUCACACAAGCGGUGGAGCAUGUUGCUUAAUUCGAAGCAACGCGAAGAACCUUACCAGGGUUUGACAUGCAUGGAUUAGCUCUGUGAAAGCAGAGUGACACUCUUGAGUGGAACAUACACAGGUGCUGCAUGGCUGUCGUCAGCUCGUGCUGUGAAGUGUCGGGUUAAGUCCCUUAACGAGCGCAACCCCUAUCGUUAGUUGCCAGCGCGUAAUGGCGGGGACUCUAGCGAGACUGCCGGUGUCAAACCGGAGGAAGGUGGGGAUGACGUCAAGUCAGCAUGGCCCUUAUGUCCAGGGCUGCACACGUGCUACAAUGGUGCAUACAGAGCGACGCGAGACCGCAAGGUGGAGCAAAUCGCAAAAAGUGCACCCCAGUUCGGAUUGCAGGCUGCAACUCGCCUGCAUGAAGUUGGAAUCGCUAGUAAUCGUAGAUCAGCUACGCUACGGUGAAUACGUUCCUGAGCCUUGUACACACCGCCCGUCACGUCAUGGAAGCCGGGAGUGCCCGAAGUCGCCAUAUUUCAA